CACAGGGGUGGACCGAGACGAAGGAGGAGGGGCAGCUUCGGGUGCCAGGCAGCCAGGGGCAUCGGCGAUGACAGGGCCAGCACCUUGCCGGGGCUCAGGGGUCCCAGACGCUCCUCCGUGCCAGGCCAAAGGGCAGUCCCUCCGG
This is a long non-coding RNA of Gopherus evgoodei (Goodes thornscrub tortoise), 145 nucleotides long. RefSeq lists it as uncharacterized. Lineage: Eukaryota; Metazoa; Chordata; Testudines; Testudinidae. The transcript is spliced from 3 exons. The record is from RefSeq and is a predicted model, not a curated record.